CUCGUAGGCGGUUUGUCGCGUCUGCUGUGAAAACUGGGGGCUCAACCCCCAGCCUGCAGUGGGUACGGGCAGACUAGAGUGCGGUAGGGGAGAUUGGAAUUCCUGGUGUAGCGGUGGAAUGCGCAGAUAUCAGGAGGAACACCGAUGGCGAAGGCAGAUCUCUGGGCCGUAACUGACGCUGAGGAGCGAAAGCAUGGGGAGCGAACA
This 207-nucleotide ribosomal RNA is filed under the name uncultured bacterium. RNAcentral's name for it is "partial 16S ribosomal RNA". It matches the Rfam family "Bacterial small subunit ribosomal RNA", at positions 568 to 774 of the family's 1533-position model. The record is from RNAcentral.